RNAcentral lists this ribosomal RNA (2283 nucleotides) under Triticum aestivum (bread wheat). RNAcentral's name for it is "partial small subunit ribosomal RNA". Lineage: Eukaryota; Viridiplantae; Streptophyta; Magnoliopsida; Poales; Poaceae. The record is from RNAcentral.
AUGAAGGAACGGAAGCCGGCGGCCCCCUCUGCGUUGGCCCGGAUCCUCGCCACCUGCGCGUCCCAGAUGCAAGGAGGUUUGAGCAGCCCUGGUGCGCUCUCUCAUGCUUAUGUACAACAUCCUCCACUACGGUGUGACAUUCCAGAUAUUAAGGGGCUAUUUUAUGAUGAUGCGAAUAAGUUUCUUGUAGCCCCAACAGCUGAUCGGAUAUUAUACUGGAAGAUAGCUGCAUCUACUCAAUCUGGACCUCCAAACUCUGAUCCAAUUAAUGAAGGCCCCAUCUUAUCAGUUCGAUUUUCUCUGGAUCAGAAAGCCAUAGGGAUUCAGCGAUCCAGUCAUGAGGUGGAGUUUAGAAAUAGAGAAACAGGGGAAGGCUGUAGUAAGAAGUGCAGAGCAGAUUCUGAGACCAUACUGGGAUUUUUCUGGACCGACUGUCCCACUUGUGAUGUCAUAAUUAUAAAAACAAGUGGGCUAGAUAUGCUUGUCUAUGAGCCUCAAUCAAAUGCUCUUCGGUUAGUGGAGUCAAAAAAGUGCAAUGCCACCUGGUAUCUUUACACUCAUGAAAGCAGGUUGCUUCUUCUUGCAUCUGGAAUGCAAUGUACGCUGUUCACUGGAUAUCAGUUUUCUGCUGGUGGGAUCGUCAAAUUGCCUAAGUUUGAGAUGGUGAUGUCUAAAUCCGAAGCAAAUAACAAGCCUGUCCUAGCUGCUGCUGAUGUUCACAUCGUAACAGUGUAUGGUAGGAUUUACUGCUUGCAGCUGGAUAGAGUCGGCAUGGCAUUGAACCUGUACCGAUUCUACCGUGAUGCUGUUGUACAACAGGGUACUCUCCCAGUAUAUUCAAGCAGAAUUGCAGUUAGUGCAGUUGACAAUAUAAUCAUGGUCCAUCAAAUUGAUGCGAAAGUUGUCAUACUUUACGAUGUAUUUAUGGAUUCUUACGCACCAAUAUCUGCACCACUUCCAUUGCUUGUGAGAGGACUCGCCAGCAAUAGUAAGCAAGCAGCACAACCUGCAGAUCAGCAAUCAAGUGCAUAUGGCGGGACUUUAUAUGGAGAAGGUUGGAACUUUCUCAUUCCUGACCUCAUCUGUGAUGCUGAGAAUGGGCUACUCUGGAAACUUCAUUUAGAUCUGGAGGCUAUUGCUGCUAGUACUUCUGAUGCUCCUUCGAUUUUGGAAUUCCUUCAGAGACGAAAGUCUGACCUGAGUAUGGUUAAGACACUAAGCCUUGCUAUAGUUCGAACAACCAUCUUGGAAAGGAGGCCAAUAACUUUGGUUGCAAAGGCAAUGGAUAUCAUUCUUGAUUCAUACUCUCGUUCGAUGAAAACGGUAGGCGGUGCUGCUGGGGUUAGGAGGACGUCUGAGCAAAACCAACAGUCAAGUUUUCAGCCUGUUGAGGACUCCCGUGUGGUUUCUCAGGAACCUCCUGGAACCAUGAUUGGACCUGUUAUCAACACUGAUUCAGCAAGUGGGGUUGAGAGUAGACAGUCACAGUCAAAUUCAGGAGUUGAGCAUGGAAUUGCUAACCUGGCAGCACAUGUAGAUAGGUCAUCUUUAAACACAUCCUCUGAUUCUGACGGUAUUACCAAUACAUCGAGAGCGGUAAGUCAGGCAACAUCAAGCUCCCAGAUAUCUGACGCCACUGGCAAAAGACCGCAGGUUGUAGGCAAGGAUAGCCAACCAUUGGCUUCUGGUACAUCAAUGCAGCAUGGAACACAUGUUGCUAGUGUGGCAAUUUCACCAAUUGAAAUGGUCCAGUCCGUCUUUGUGCUUGUUGAAGAUGAAAUGAUGGGUGAUCCUGCAUACCUUAUUGCUGUCAUCAUGGAGUUUCUACGAAGCCUGUCAAAAGCUGGGCUGAAGGCUCCUCCUGACCUUUAUGUCAUGAUGACUGCUUUGCUGGCCUGCAGCAACCGUUAUGCUGAAAUAGCACUGUUUGUAUCGAACAAGAUCCUAGAGCCGUCCAGGGAACUCGCAAUGCAGCUCAUUGAACUGGGUCGACAGCAUUCACUGACAAGGAAGCUGGGAGUCGACAUGCUCCGGGAGAGGUGCCUGCACCAUGACUACGUUGCCGCAUUACUCCAAGACGGGUACUACCUGGAGGCUCUACGCUAUGCUCGAAAAUACAAGGUUAUCACCGUGCAGCCUUCCCUGUUUUUGGAGGAAGCCGUGGCCAAGAACAGCACGCCGAACCUUGCCGCCGUGCUGAGCUUUUUUGCUGAGCUCACGCCGAGUUUCAAGACGACGUUGGACUAUAGCAGAUAUCGGCACAUACUGUUGGAAAUGGUCUGA